This 476-nucleotide ribosomal RNA is filed under the name Streptococcus sp. oral taxon 066. Its description in RNAcentral is "bacterial SSU rRNA". It matches the Rfam family "Bacterial small subunit ribosomal RNA", at positions 28 to 487 of the family's 1533-position model. The record is from RNAcentral. Lineage: Bacteria; Bacillati; Bacillota; Bacilli; Lactobacillales; Streptococcaceae.
GAUGAACGCUGGCGGCGUGCCUAAUACAUGCAAGUAGAACGCUGAAGCUUGGUGCUUGCACCGAGCGGAUGAGUUGCGAACGGGUGAGUAACGCGUAGGUAACCUGCCUGGUAGCGGGGGAUAACUAUUGGAAACGAUAGCUAAUACCGCAUAACAGUCGACAUUGCAUGAUGUUGAUUUGAAAGGGGCAAAUGCUCCACUACCAGAUGGACCUGCGUUGUAUUAGCUAGUUGGUGAGGUAACGGCUCACCAAGGCGACGAUACAUAGCCGACCUGAGAGGGUGAUCGGCCACACUGGGACUGAGACACGGCCCAGACUCCUACGGGAGGCAGCAGUAGGGAAUCUUCGGCAAUGGACGGAAGUCUGACCGAGCAACGCCGCGUGAGUGAAGAAGGUUUUCGGAUCGUAAAGCUCUGUUGUAAGAGAAGAACGAGUGUGAGAGUGGAAAGUUCACACUGUGACGGUAACUACCAGA